Long non-coding RNA from Corapipo altera (White-ruffed manakin), 1303 nucleotides. RefSeq lists it as uncharacterized. The record is from RefSeq and is a predicted model, not a curated record. NCBI's taxonomy places the organism in Eukaryota, Metazoa, Chordata, Aves, Passeriformes, Pipridae. The transcript is spliced from 3 exons.
CUCAGCAGCUGAAUGAAUGAUCUGAAACAGUCAGCAUGGAGAAGUCUUGGGAGAGGGCAGCCAAGGCAAUCAGGAGGCCUGGGAUAGCCCAUUAACCUGUGAGUGACCAGACUGGGAGAUGAGCAAGGAGAGGCCAAAGAAGGAGCUAAUGUGGGCAUUGAGGGUACAGGUGGGAGUGGAGCAGAGAUUAAAUAAUAUGAAAGUUUUCCGUAAGUGACUCCUGAACUUGCAGAUUCCAUGGGAAGUGCAGCCGCCUGCAGUUACUGUUCCUGUUUUUGAAGAUCCUGCCAGGAAUAAGAGGUAGAAAGACAGACAAGACUGUGAGAAGAUUCAUCAAGGAGGCCACUGUCAAGAAGGGGCAGAGGAUCUCAGUUGGAUGCAUGGGAAAUGGGGAGUGCCAGAAGCCAGCUGGACUGCAGUGUGGGCUGGGAAUGAGGAAACAGUUGGGAUGGUCUGUGCAGGGAGAGCAGGCACAGCAAAGGCUGUGCUGGCAGUGGAUGCUCUGAAAGGGCAGACGAAUAUUUUGGAUAUAUAAGGAUAAAGAAUUUCUGUGAGGGAAGGAGUGUGGAACAGUAAGUCAGACUAAAUAGGGUGGGAUUUGGGGUCUGAACUAUUAGCUUGGGUUAAGAGAUAUGGGGUAGAAAGAGCCACACAUUUGAAAAUCUGCAGGAAGAGGAUGGGAAUCUGGAAUCUAAGAUAAAGGACCUAGGUAUUUGCUCUAAGAUCCUGGGGAAAGAGGAGUGAAAUGUCCUGAUGGUUCUUCUGAGGUCAAAAGAGUUCCACUUUCACUCCAUUGUCUGCCAGUCUCCUCAUUCUGGGCUACCCAGGCAGGGCAAGGUGUGGACACAUUUGUCAAUCCUGUGUUAUGUUCUCUUUUUGCUGUCAAAAAUUGGAUAAUGCUAACCCAAACAUUUUACUCCUAAAGUGUUCUCCUUAUUACACUCAUUUGUAACUCUAGCAGUCGGGUGUGUAAUGAUAUGACCAAAGAGGUGGGAUUCAUAAUUUUUAUUUCUGUGUAAUUUUAAUUUGUAGGACACUGCCUUAGCAAGUAAUUCUUAUUUACUAUACUUUAUACUUUUCACAUUUUUUUUUCCUUCCUGCAGGAACAGUGACAAUGGUGUCAAGUGACAAUUCAACAGAUCAUGAAAGAUCAAGGUCCAUCCUGAAGUUGAAAACUAGGCUGAAACAGAAGCAGCAGCACUGCUGUUAAGUGCAGACUUCAUGCCUUGUUUCAGCAGCUUUCACUCUAAAUGAGGUGAAAUGAUAGUUCUACAGAAAAACAUCAAAACAAACAGAAAGCAGC